Molecule: long non-coding RNA, 2651 nt
Organism: Dreissena polymorpha
Lineage: Eukaryota; Metazoa; Mollusca; Bivalvia; Myida; Dreissenidae
Exons: 2
Source: RefSeq, a predicted model, not a curated record
GUAUAUAUUAUAUAUCUUUUGUGUUUAUUUACUAUCCCUAUGAUUCGCUGUAUUCAUUGCGCUAUUUUUAUCUGUAAUUGUAUUCAAUAACAUGGUAUAUCGACAACGGCCCACUCCAUAAAUUUACUUCCUUAUGCGACUGCUUGUCGAAUGCUAUGCUUACCUGUUAUUAUGGACAAAUAGGAUAUGAUAUUGUUUUUCUUUGUCAUCGAAACAAGUAUACAAGAUGUUUUAUUAUGAACGAAAAUGACUGUCGCAGGUUCGUGUAUGUGGGAGAGACCGGCGGAACUCUGUACCAGCGACAUCUAUUGAAUCUGUCGCGUAUUCGCACACAGCACAGUGACCCGGUAGCUGAACAUUUCUACACCAACGGACAUUCCAUGGAUGAUUUCCAAAUAAUGGGACUCGAAAAACUCAGCGGGUCGGACGAGUACCGCAAAACCAUGGAGCAAUUGUGGAAGUCAAAACUAAGGACAUACCGACCAUAUGGCAUCAACGUGCAAGAAUAAACGUUAAUAAAAGGGUGCGUAAACAACGUUGACGCCGGAAAUGCACGACGUCAUUUCCGUUUAUAAUAAAACAUCUGAAAAUAAAAAAUGGCCGCUGAUGAAGACCGUGAGGUCGAAAGCUUCGGCAAAAAAUAAAUACAGCGUUUUUUGUUUAAAUACAACAAGGCUAAUAGAGACUUUGUUAUAUAUAUAUAUAUAUAUAUAUAUAUAUAUAAUGCGAAUUGUUUACUAAUUUAUCUAUGUAUACUUUUUCCCCAGAAUUUGAUGAGUAAUAAUCAAUAUAAAUGUUUAAAUGAAAUUACUUAUGUAGAACAAUGUACUCUUUGUCUUAUUAUUUCAUUAACAACGGUCAUUUUCGAUGUUAAAAGGACAUAUCUUAUGUUAUGAAUCAGUAAAAUAUUUGUUAACUUCUUCCAUUACAUAAUUUUUAUAAUUAUUACCUAAUCUCAUAAAAAUUAUCAUCCAUGUCGUUGCACUUGUGUAUUAUGUAUCAUGCAUUUGACUAAAAAGCAAUUGUAUGCUUAAGAGCUAAUAAAUGUUGUUGUUGUAUAGCACUUGAACACAUGUUAUACUUUAAGUUCUGUGAAAACAAUUUAAAGCAUGGAGCUUACGCGUAAAACUUAAUGUUUAUAUAAACUUUUUGACAGCCGUGUUGUCAUCUUGACGUAUCAGUUGUUAUCCUAACAUUCUUGGUUUGAGAUAUUUAAUAUUCAUGUGCAUUAAAACAAAAUGAUUAACUUAGCUCUUAUCAAUUAUUUGCAUUUAUUUAAACAUAUUGUGUUUAGUUUUGAGUACGUUUAAGACUCACAUUUGCCACGUCUUUAAAAUGAACAAUAAAAUAUGUAUCAUAUUAUUUAUCGAAAUUCGCAAACCAAGUGCAUCUUCAUAUUAUACGUAAUACAGUGAUACGAUCUGUUUAAGGUAUUAACAUAUACCAAAUGUUAGUAAGAAUCAUGAAAAAUGAAUGCAAAAAUAUGUGCAUGUAUCCUCAAUAAGGAAGCAAUUUUAUGUUCAUUAUAUGAUAAUUACCUUUAAAAAAAAAAUACAGAUCGAGUAAUAUCCGCUGUGAAUUUAACACAUACAAGAAUGUCGGACAUCCUAUCAAUAAACCGAAUUUCAGUGUUCAUGGAAUGUAAUUGGAGAGAUAAUUUAUGCAAAUUUUUUUAACUACAAACUUUUGUAAUCCUUGAAGCAGAUCCAAUAUUAUAUGAACUAAGGCACGUGGACCAGCGAUAUAUAAUACAAAUUAACGAAUUCAUCAUUCCUAAGCUCAAUUUUUGCGUAAGUAAUGCAAUUUAAGAGUUAACAUAAGGAAAACACACAGGUUGCUCAAUUUGUAGUAUACUGAACUAUCAAUUAGGGGCUUAAGAGUUCGAACCCCAUCCAUCUUACAUAAAAUUACCAUGUUAUUAUUUUUCUGGCCACCCUGCCCCUUUAUCUGAUUCAUGUAGGGCAGAUGUCAUUUACUAGCAUAAUAAUUCAGAAAAUACUUUCAACCGCUCAGCUGCUUGACUUGCUAAUGAAAAGUAUGCAUCGGUUAACUGGCCACCAUAACAUGACUCAAAUACUGUCCAAAACGGCAAAAUUACAGACAGGAAAAAUCUGAACAAACAUGUUUUAUUGAGCCAAGAUACAUUUUAUACGUAGAGAUAAAAUUAUGAUACUAAGAUUACAAUCAUAUCUGUUAAAGAUUGUCUCUUAUUGCGUAUACACGUUAUUGUAUAUAAAUCAUAUGUAUAUAAUUUUGUUUAGUAAUCAUGUUAACAUACUUAAAUUCAAAGUGUAAUACAAGUUUACAUUUUAACUACUCGUACACGUUAUCCGUAUCAAUUUAUUUGAUAAAGUUGUAUUGGCAAAAUGUCAUGCUGCUCCUUACUGUUUGUGCGGUGGGAGUAGUUUCAAGACCUUAAUCUUUGAAGUGAAAAUAAAUUGGAGUUAUUGCAACUAAAAGCACAAGUUGGAAUUUGUUUGUCAUUCCGACUCGUUCAACGGGUGCAUUUUACCGACCAUAAACGAACAUUAAAGUGUUUCCUUCAAGUUCAGUAUUCAUUAUGUUCUAUUACCAUUAUGUAUAUUCACAACAUGUCUAUCAAUAAAAAACCUAUCAAUUAACAACUGAAAAAUAACCCCUUAAUCUCAAUU